AAGUUCGUAUUAGAUGGUGUUUCUCACAUCUACCAUAUAGUGUCUGUUAUUCUGCAAGUACUCUGUACACAUAAAUAUCAGCAGACACAACCAUCCUCUUGAUAUGAAUUGCUCUGAUGAGCAUCUUAUGUGGCGGAUAAGACUCAGUACAGUAGUACAUUUCUACUACAUUAUUGGUAUGGUAUAUAAGUUCAGUUGAAUGCUCCUUUCUAGGCCUUGACGACAACAAUCAAAUACCUGCAAAAUAGUUUUUCCAUAUGUGCAUUUCAAUGAUUAAUAUAUUCAGGCGCUCUCGCAAACCUGCUGUUCCCUUCCAGUAUUCCAUGUAGAAAGAAGAUUGUACAGCUUUGUUGUAAAUCUUAACAAUUAAAGCCAUUUGUUAUAUAAAUGUAGAGAGCAUAUUUAUUACCGCAACAGGAAAACUAUACUGCUAACCUCUUGGUUUUAGCUGCAUAAGGUGUGAACUCAUUUUAGUCCUCAAAAUACAUGCUCUUAUAAAGAAAACAAUCAGUUUAUAGCCUACCAAUUUCUGACGCUGUUUGAUUUCUUAGCUGAGACUCGUGUACGAAGUCGGUGCCCUACUGACAAAGGUGGUACAACUCUCACCAGAUGGCCUCAGAGACGAGAGCACAAUAACAUACUGGAAGAUAUGACACUAGAAGCACACAAAUAAGCUAACCUGGUGCAAGCUGUGAUUCCAUGACCCAUCCCCGCUGUGACCCUGUUCCUGGAAUUGGCAAGGUGUUUUUGAAGUAUGCAGAUGCCAAGAGCUCGGCCAGGGCAACAAUGGAUGCACAUGAGGAGAUUCGACAGGAAAAAGACGGUUGCCGUGUUCGCCGAUGGAGACUACGACGAAUAGAUUAAAACAAAUCUUGCAUAUUUGUUCUUUUUAGACUUUGAAUACAUUUAGCAGUAAGUUUUCAUGAAAUGUACUUAAAUCUCAUGUUAUUCUAAUAGUGGUGCAUACAGGAUUGCAUUCCGAAGUUAUCAGAAUACAAAUCUUUAAAACCGAACCGCAGUGAGUUUAUGUAGAUUUUUUUUUUU
Molecule: long non-coding RNA, 1044 nt
Organism: Lolium rigidum
Lineage: Eukaryota; Viridiplantae; Streptophyta; Magnoliopsida; Poales; Poaceae
Exons: 3
Source: RefSeq, a predicted model, not a curated record